RNAcentral lists this ribosomal RNA (429 nucleotides) under uncultured archaeon. RNAcentral's name for it is "bacterial SSU rRNA". It matches the Rfam family "Archaeal small subunit ribosomal RNA", at positions 474 to 903 of the family's 1478-position model. The record is from RNAcentral.
UACCUGCAGCUCAAGUGGUGGCCGCUAUUAUUGGGCCUAAAACGUUCGUAGCCGGCUGAGUAAAUGCUUGGGUAAAUCGUGCCGCUUAACGGUACGAAUUCCGGGUAGACUGCUCAGCUUGAGACCGGGAGAAGCUAGAGGUACUCCUGGGGUAGAGGUGAAAUUCUGUAAUCCUGGGGGGACCACCAGUGGCGAAGGCGUCUAGCUAGAACGGGUCUGACGGUGAGGGACGGAACCCUGGGGCGCAAACCGGAUUAGAUACCCGGGUAGUCCAGGGCGCAAACGCUGCUUGCUUGAUGUUAGCUGGGCUCCGGGCUCAGCUAGUGUCGGAGAGAAGUUGUUAAGCAAGCUGCCUGGGAAGUACGAUCGCAAGAUUGAAACUUAAAGGAAUUGGCGGGGGAGCACAGCAACGGGUGGAGCGUGCGGUUU